AAGUCGUAACAAGGUUUCCGUAGGUGAACCUGCGGAAGGAUCAUUAUCGAACCUUUUGGAAGUGGGACUGAUGCUGGUCCUCUCGGACAUGUGCUCGUCUCGCUUUUCCUCCUUUCCACACCAUGUGAACUUCCAAGGUAGCGUGUCCCUCCCCUCAUGGGGGAGCCGCUGGAUGAUCCCCGCUGCGGGUGAGCGUCGAGCUGGGGGCGCGCGACCUUGUUUCCAACAACACCAUAAAGAAGUUUGUAGAAAUCAUGAUAACUGCCCGAGUGGCAAAUUACAACUUUCAACAACGGAUCUCUUGGCUCUC
Molecule: unclassified non-coding RNA, 310 nt
Filed under: air metagenome
Description: partial contains small subunit ribosomal RNA, internal transcribed spacer 1, and 5.8S ribosomal RNA
Rfam family: Eukaryotic small subunit ribosomal RNA (bases 1-46)
Source: RNAcentral